GGGGAAUUUUCCGCAAUGGGCGAAAGCCUGACGGAGCAAUACCGCGUGAGGGAGGAAGGCUCUUGGGUCGUAAACCUCUUUUCUCAGGGAAGAACACAAUGACGGUACCUGAGGAAUAAGCAUCGGCUAACUCCGUGCCAGCAGCCGCGGUAAUACGGAGGAUGCAAGCGUUAUCCGGAAUGAUUGGGCGCAAAGCGUCCGCAGGUGGCAAUGUAAGUCUGCUGUUAAAGAGUGAGGCUCAACCUCAUAAGAGCAGUGGAAACUACAUAGCUAGAGUACGUUCGGGGCAGAGGGAAUUCCUGGUGUAGCGGUGAAAUGCGUAGAGAUCAGGAAGAACACCGGUGGCGAAGGCGCUCUGCUAGGCCGUAACUGACACUGAGGGACGAAAGCUAGGGGAGCGAAUGGGAUUAGAUACCCCAGUAGUC
This 425-nucleotide ribosomal RNA is filed under the name uncultured cyanobacterium. RNAcentral's name for it is "bacterial SSU rRNA". It matches the Rfam family "Bacterial small subunit ribosomal RNA", at positions 356 to 795 of the family's 1533-position model. The record is from RNAcentral. Lineage: Bacteria; Bacillati; Cyanobacteriota.